This is a long non-coding RNA of Zonotrichia leucophrys gambelii, 1226 nucleotides long. RefSeq lists it as uncharacterized. The transcript has 3 exons. The record is from RefSeq and is a predicted model, not a curated record. NCBI's taxonomy places the organism in Eukaryota, Metazoa, Chordata, Aves, Passeriformes, Passerellidae.
CCGCCGGGCACUGCCCGCAUGACGCCGCUGAUGGAACACGCCGCCGCUCGCUUCUCCUCCUCCGGCAGCCGGGCUCUCCCUCCACGCGCCGCGGGCAGCAGCGCACAGGAUUUACAACCCUCAGGGUACACCUACAUACCUGAGAGUAAAGCUCCUGUCCAGGUUCAGGGGUUGCAGAUUCUUGCAAGCCUGGAGUGCAGAAACAUCAUGACAAGCAUUUGAUGCAGAAUUUGCAGUUUACUAAUCAGAAUUCCUCUGAAAUAUGAGCAGGAAACAUUCUGAGGAAAACCUUGCCUUAACCUUCUGGGACUGCAGUGUCAAUAUUGAGGCAGGAGAGAAGAACAAGACAUUCUUCCUGGGUUACAUAUACCUUGUAGCUGAAGAGCAGGAUGGCUUGGGGAAAAGUGGGACAAUCAACUUUGCUUUUGAUCAAAAGGAGAAUUUGCCUGAAGCAGGGAGUGCUCUUGACUGCCACAUACUCAAUAGCUGGCUUUCCUGGAGAAGAAAGGGACUGGAAGUCCCCUAAGAUCUUUUACUAUAAAUAACUGUAAAUAUAUAAUCCUAACAGAAUUAAUUGACCCCUCCAGAGCAAGAUGUUGUGUGUGGCACCAGGUGCACCUGCCAGACAUUCCUCUCAAGCACAAGUUUAAACCCUCAGGAAGGGCUCUGCUCUGCUGCACAUGCAGCCAAAGGAAGCUCUUCCUGCACUAUUUACUCCCCAGGCAGGAUUCUACAGUGUCCUGGCAAGCAGGUCUGCAGGAGCCAGCCCGGAGUGACACAACAGCCCCAGUGCAAUUUGAGGUGCUUUGUACAUUGCCACUUUUCAUGGCAACACUUGUAGCUCCAUUUUCCCAAAUGCAAGUACAAGUCCUAAUCCUUUCCUGUAUAAUUUUGCAAAUUAAACCUAAAUUAUUCAGAAGUACAGCUGUUGUUGUGUAAUCCUUGCUAGUUCUUUAAGCAGCUUUCUGUCUAUAAGUCACAAAUUUUUCUUGGAAUCUAGUGCUGAAAUAAGUGCAAGAAACACCUUCUGUCUUGCUAAAAGCAGAGUUCUUCCUCCAAAAGGCAAAAGCUAGUGACUUUUUCAGUAUCUUUCAUUAUUUUAUACCAAUUACUUUCCAGUUUAUUUCAACCAGCUGGAAGACCCUUUCUGCUGUUAGCAUGGUGUGUUAUAUACAAGUCCAAGGUUAGAUCAAAUGUUUUAAUUACAAUAACAUACAUAUACAGCU